This 1239-nucleotide long non-coding RNA is filed under the name Ficedula albicollis (Collared flycatcher). RNAcentral's name for it is "lncRNA (ENSFALG00000026696.1)". The record is from RNAcentral. Lineage: Eukaryota; Metazoa; Chordata; Aves; Passeriformes; Muscicapidae.
GGCCGGGCAGUGCAGACAGGACAGGCCGGGCAGUGCGGACAGGACAGGCCGGGCAGUGCAGACAGGACAGGCCGGGCAGUGCGGGAGGCGUGGCCUUGGCGAACCCUCGGGAAAGGGUUGGCAGAAUACGUCUCUGACGCUCUGUUCGCCCCCGACUCAUUCCAGGCUUAAAUGAAGACAGAAUCUGACUACAAGCGAGCGCAAAUCUCCUGGGUGUCUCUGGGCAAGGGAAACCUGAAAAACCCCAAAUGGCACCAAAGAUUGGUCAUGAACAGCUGGAACUGGCCAGUGGAAUAGGCCAGGAACAGGGCAAACUCCACCACUUUUUCGCUGUUCUUUCCCCUUUCCUUUGCUUUUUACAUGCCAAUAAUACUCAUUUCGCAGAACAGAUCGCAGGCUGAAGCAACACAUCACCGUAAUGUCCCAUCACGCACUCUGAAACGCCAUAGUUGCAGACUACUCUCUGCCAUUCCCAAGAACACAUCAAAGCUCUUCAAGGAGGGAUUUCUUUCUUCUGUGUUGGAGCUGGUGCUGCUGCCAUCGUGGACUCUCUGAACUCCCUAGAGGUGCAGAGGAGCUGCAGAAAUGAUAGAGUGCAAUGACUGGCCUCUGUCUGUGCCAACCCAAAGCUGAGGAAAAAGAGGACAACACAGGAGGUCUGCAGAGGUACAGCAGGCUAAGGUAAACACCUUAGACCGGUGAGUUUGAGAAGCAGUUACAUUGCAAAUGCUCAGGAGGUGCAGUGAACAGGCAAGUGUGAACUCACUCCUUGCAAGAUAGAUUUGCUGGUUGAUAUGUUAGCCUCUGUGCUGGGGCUGUAGGAGGUAAGAAGAACUAAAGAGCAAACAGCCCAAGUGGUAAAUGAAAAAAUACAUUGGGGCACUCGCAAUUCAAACACAUUGCCACCAAAAAGUGCCAAUAUGGAAAAAUAAGACAUUAAGAAGCACUGUUGCAGAGGAAACAUUUUAUAUGAGCAGGGAACUAUCACAGUUGCUAUGUCUAAAUAACAAGAUUUACCUUCCUUUCAGUUUCAAUAUUAUCUAGUGGGCAAAAUGAAUCAAACUGCAUUUCAGGGUCAAGGGAUCCCUUGCCACAGACAGUACCCACAGGGAAGAGGAGUGUGUUGCGCAAUGCAGAGCACAAAGUAGAAGCAACUGACAUGGGGAAAAUCUGCCCCUAGACAAAAGCCUUUACUGAGCCAGUGCAUCUCAAGUUGAAACUCUGGGGGCACAUGAGUUC